This 23-nucleotide non-coding RNA is filed under the name Rattus norvegicus (Norway rat). Lineage: Eukaryota; Metazoa; Chordata; Mammalia; Rodentia; Muridae. The record is from RNAcentral.
AGAAAGCUUUCCAGCAUGGGGGA